RNAcentral lists this ribosomal RNA (497 nucleotides) under uncultured bacterium. RNAcentral describes it as "partial 16S ribosomal RNA". It matches the Rfam family "Bacterial small subunit ribosomal RNA", at positions 28 to 507 of the family's 1533-position model. The record is from RNAcentral.
GACGAACGCUGGCGGCGUGCCUAAUACAUGCCAGUAGAACGCUGAAGCUUGGUGCUUGCACCGAGCGGAUGAGUUGCGAACGGGUGAGUAACGCGUAGGUAACCUGCCUGGUAGCGGGGGAUAACUAUUGGAAACGAUAGCUAAUACCGCAUAACAGUAGAUAUCGCAUGAUAGCUACUUGAAAGGUGCAAAUGCACCACUACCAGAUGGACCUGCGUUGUAUUAGCUAGUUGGUGAGGUAACGGCUCACCAAGGCAACGAUACAUAGCCGACCUGAGAGGGUGAUCGGCCACACUGGGACUGAGACACGGCCCAGUCUCCUACGGGAGGCAGCAGUAGGGAAUCUUCGGCAAUGGACGGAAGUCUGACCGAGCAACGCCGCGUGAGUGAAGAAGGUUUUCGGAUCGUAAAGCUCUGUUGUAAGAGAAGAACGAGUGUGAGAGUGGAAAGUUCACACUGUGACGGUAUCUUACCAGAAAGGGACGGCUAACUACGUG